RNAcentral lists this ribosomal RNA (416 nucleotides) under uncultured bacterium. RNAcentral describes it as "bacterial SSU rRNA". It matches the Rfam family "Bacterial small subunit ribosomal RNA", at positions 152 to 584 of the family's 1533-position model. The record is from RNAcentral.
GGAAACGGCUGCUAAUACCGCAUAAGCCCUUAGCACUGCAUGGUGCAUAGGGAAAAGGAGCAAUCCGGUACAGGAUGGACCCGCGUCUGAUUAGCCAGUUGGCAGGGUAACGGCCUACCAAAGCGACGAUCAGUAGCCGAUCUGAGAGGAUGUACGGCCACAUUGGGACUGAGACACGGCCCAGACUCCUACGGGAGGCAGCAGUGGGGAAUAUUGCACAAUGGAGGGAACUCUGAUGCAGCGACGCCGCGUGAGUGAAGAAGUAUUUCGGUAUGUAAAGCUCUAUCAGCAGGGAAGAAAAUGACGGUACCUGACUAAGAAGCACCGGCUAAAUACGUGCCAGCAGCCGCGGUGAUACGUAUGGUGCAAGCGUUAUCCGGAUUUACUGGGUGUAAAGGGAGCGUAGGUGGCAAGGC